CUAUCUUUAACUCAGCCUACGAGCUCGUCUGAUCUCGGAAGCUAAGCAGGGUCGGACCUGGUUAGAACUUGGAUGGGAGACCAAAUGGCGACAGCGCUGGGC
This 102-nucleotide ribosomal RNA is filed under the name Nomascus leucogenys (northern white-cheeked gibbon). Lineage: Eukaryota; Metazoa; Chordata; Mammalia; Primates; Hylobatidae. The record is from RNAcentral.